Molecule: small RNA, 119 nt
Filed under: Salmonella enterica
Lineage: Bacteria; Pseudomonadati; Pseudomonadota; Gammaproteobacteria; Enterobacterales; Enterobacteriaceae
Also listed under: 6 other names
Description: RtT sRNA
Rfam family: RtT RNA
About the family: This family represents a bacterial cis-regulatory element known as RtT RNA. The exact function of RtT is unknown although it is thought that it may be involved in changing the cellular response in relation to amino acid starvation.
Source: RNAcentral
UGUAUCGGAAGCCUGACGAGGAUGAGAACCUCCGGGGGCAAGAGGUUCGACCCGAGCGAAGCGAGAAAACGUUGCGUCAGCAACGGCCCGCAGGGCGAGCCAUCCUCUAUCACCGGCAG